This 394-nucleotide long non-coding RNA is filed under the name Ananas comosus (pineapple). RNAcentral's name for it is "long non-coding RNA (ACOM_LNC020241)". Lineage: Eukaryota; Viridiplantae; Streptophyta; Magnoliopsida; Poales; Bromeliaceae. The record is from RNAcentral.
AAAUCAUAUAAAAACAUACUAUAUAUAAAAUACAAUUUUUAUAUAUUUUUUAAAAAUAAAUAUAUAUUAAUAAUUUAAUUUAAUAUUUAGUAUAUUAAAUAAUUAAAUUUAGGUUUACAGAAAUUGUCUUGAAAUAUCUAUUAGUAUUUGUACUGUUGAUGAGAGAUAAAGGGUAAAAAUGGUAUUUUAAAAAUAUAACUCCAUUUUAAAGGGACUUUGACAGAACUUAACUAGUGAAGGGCAUAUAUGAUAAUUUUUGAUAUAUUGGAGGGCAUUCAUGAAAUUAUUGAUUUUAGAAGGGCAUUGAUGAAAUUAAUAGUCCCUGGAACGGCAUCUAUGAAAUUAUCCCAAAAAAAUAAAUUUAAUUUAAUUUUAAAAUUUUUAUGGAGGUUCU